AGUUGAGCAGGUCACCUCUCACACCCGCGCCUCUACAAGGGAGCGAACAACACACCAAUUAUGCUUCAUCUGAGCGCCAUCGCUUACUUGUGUCUCCACUUUCAAGUCGCAGAUUGUGCUGCCCCUGAGGUCAACCAGAGCCCUGCCUACCUCUCCAUCUCUGAGGGAAAGACGGCCAAUCUUAGUUGUGUCUACGCUGUUAACAAGUGCGAAGACAUUAUGAUCAACUGGUUUUAUAAGCCCCCAAAUCAGGUAAACCUGACGUGCAUUUUGUUCUCGGGCAACCCCAGAGGGAAAGCUUCCCAUCGCCUCAGAAAUAUAACAGAUACAGAACAAAACACAAAUUGGUUAUCGAUAGAGAACCUUCAGCGUGAAGACAGCGGCACCUAUUACUGUGUGUUGGAGAUACUCACUCCACCUUUCAAUAACGUCAGAGGAAAUGGAAGCAGGAAAGUGCCGGACCUGAGAAUGUACAGUUACCUUCCAACUUCUUAA
Molecule: non-coding RNA, 495 nt
Organism: Callorhinchus milii (elephant shark)
Lineage: Eukaryota; Metazoa; Chordata; Chondrichthyes; Chimaeriformes; Callorhinchidae
Source: the annotation of a RefSeq genome assembly